This 422-nucleotide ribosomal RNA is filed under the name uncultured prokaryote. Its description in RNAcentral is "bacterial SSU rRNA". It matches the Rfam family "Bacterial small subunit ribosomal RNA", at positions 338 to 774 of the family's 1533-position model. The record is from RNAcentral.
CCUACGGGGGGCUGCAAUUAGGAAUCUUGCGCAAUGGGCGAAAGCCUGACGCAGCGACGUCGCGUGACUGAUGAAGUCUUUCGGGAUGUAAAGGUCUUUUCUGGGGGAAGAAGGAUGUGACGGUACCCCAGGAAUAAGCCCCGGCUAACUACGUGCCAGCAGCCGCGGUAAUACGUAGGGGGCGAGCGUUGUCCGAAUUCACUGGGCGUAAAGCGCGCGUAGGCGGACUUGUAAGUUGGGGGGGAAAUCCCGAGGCUCAACCUCGGAACUGCCUUCAAAACUGGGAGUCUUGAGGGAUGGAGAGGGAAGUGGAAUUCCAGGUGUAGCGGUGAUAUGCGUAGAUAUCUGGAGGAACACCCGUGGCGAAGGCGGCUUCCUGGCCAUAUCCUGACGCUGAGGUGCGAAAGCUAGGGGAGCGAACG